RNAcentral lists this ribosomal RNA (473 nucleotides) under uncultured bacterium. RNAcentral describes it as "SSU rRNA". It matches the Rfam family "Bacterial small subunit ribosomal RNA", at positions 26 to 518 of the family's 1533-position model. The record is from RNAcentral.
AGGACGAACGCUGGCGGCGCGCCUAACACAUGCAAGUCGAGCGAUAACCAGGGCUUGCCCUGGGGACAGCGGCGAACGGGUGCGUAACACGUGAGCAACCUGCCCCAAAGACCGGGACAACCCGAGGAAACUCGGACUAAUACCGGAUGCCCUCACCGGGCCGCAUGGUCUGGUGAGGAAAUGGAUUCCGCUUUGGGAUGGGCUCGCGGUCUAUCAGCUUGUUGGUGGGGUAACGGCCUACCAAGGCGACGACGGAUAGCUGGUCUGAGAGGACGAUCAGCCACACUGGGACUGAGACACGGCCCAGACUCCUACGGGAGGCAGCAGUGGGGAAUCUUGCGCAAUGGGGGAAACCCUGACGCAGCGACGCCGCGUGCGGGAUGAAGGCCUUCGGGUUGUAAACCGGCUUUCAGCAGGGACGAAAUUGACGGUACCUGCAGAAGAAGGCCGGCCAACUACGCGCCAGCAGCCGC